Molecule: ribosomal RNA, 467 nt
Filed under: uncultured bacterium
Lineage: Bacteria
Description: partial 16S ribosomal RNA
Rfam family: Bacterial small subunit ribosomal RNA
Source: RNAcentral
GACGAACGCUGGCGGCGUGCUUAACACAUGCAAGUCGAACGGAAAGGCCCUGCUUUUGUGGGGUGCUCGAGUGGCGAACGGGUGAGUAACACGUGAGUAACCUGCCCUUGACUUUGGGAUAACUUCAGGAAACUGGGGCUAAUACCGGAUAGGAGCUCCUGCUGCAUGGUGGGGGUUGGAAAGUUUCGGCGGUUGGGGAUGGACUCGCGGCUUAUCAGCUUGUUGGUGGGGUAGUGGCUUACCAAGGCUUUGACGGGUAGCCGGCCUGAGAGGGUGACCGGCCACAUUGGGACUGAGAUACGGCCCAGACUCCUACGGGGGGCAGCGGUGGGGAAUAUUGCACAAGGGGCGGAAGCCUGAUGCAGCAACGCCGCGUGGGGGAUGACGGCCUUCGGGUUGUAAACCGCUUUCGCCUGUGACGAAGGGUGAGUGACGGUAAUGGGUAAAGAAGCACCGGCUAACUACGU